GAAAAACGUAAAAAACAAAAAACAAAAAACAAAGACGAGACAACAUAAACGAAGACUGCUAGAACAGAGAAAAACGCAACAGCGUCUCAUUCAAAGAAUCGAUCAUAUCUCAUCGGGACUCUUAUUAUCAGCUCUUCUUCUAUUAUCUCCUCUAGAAUCGGCUUUUCUUGGAUUCAUUGGUAAUCUGGGGGAAGCUGAUUUCAUAGGAUGGAGAAGCCGCCGCUAAACUUGUUGAAGAAUGGGAGUGAGCGAUCGGAGGGGUCAAGUGGGAGUGGAGGAGAAGAGAAAGGAAGAUUCGAGUAUUUCGGGUGGGUUUACCAUCUGGGUGUCAAUUCGAUUGGCCGCGAGUACUGUCACCUGCGCUUUCUAUUCAUUCGGGGCAAGUAUAUCGAGAUGUACAAGCGUGAUCCUCACCAAAGUCCUGGCAUUAAACCCAUUAGGAGGGGUGUUGUAGGGCCCACACUUAUGGUGGAGGAGCUAGGGCGUCGAAAAGUCAAUCAUGGAGAUUUUUAUGUUAUAAGGUUUUGCAAUCGGUUGGAUGAGAUGAAAAAGGGAGAAAUUGCUUGCAGCUCGGCUGCAGACGCUCGAAAAUGGAUGGAGGCAUUUGAUCAGGCCAAGCAACAGGCUGAGUAUGAGAUUUCAAGAGGAGGUAGUACCAGAAACAAACUUAACAUGGAGACAGAGAUCAACUUGGAAGGACAUCGACCUAGAAUGAGGCGGUAUGCGCAUGGGUUGAAAGAGCUUAUAAGAAUUGGGCAAGGUCCAGAGACACUUUUGCGUCAAUCGUCGAACUUGGGUGCUGGUAGGCCAGAUGGGUACAUUGAAGGGGACACUGGAGAUGCAAUUGAGGCAAAUGAAUGGAAAUGUGUGCGGACAAUUAAUGGUGUUAGAAUCUUUGAAGAUGUUUCUGACUCCCAGAGCGGUAAAGGUGUUCUUGUGAAGUCAGUUGGUGUUGUUGAUGCAACUGCAGAUACUGUUUUUGAAGCGAUCUUAAACAUUGCGCGACACCAAAGAUACGAGUGGGAUAUGUUGACAGGUGACUUGGAGUUGAUAGAUUCUAUUGACGGGCACUAUGAUGUUGUCUAUGGGAUAUAUGAUCCAAAAUUUCUUACUCGGUGGCAUUCUAAGAGAGAUUUUGUCUUCUCUAGGCAAUGGUUUCGUGGACAAGAUGGAACAUAUACAAUCUUGCAACGUCCAGCUGUACAUAAAAAGAAGCCUCCAAGAUCUGGUUAUCGACGUACAAAAAUCAACCCAUCUACCUGGGAGAUCAGAAGUUUAAACACACCCAUUGCUUCAAAUGCUCCAAGAUGUCUUGUGACUCAAAUGUUCGAGAUGGAUUCUUCAGGCUGGUGUAGAUGGACGAAAAGCCACUGCUCAAAGUUUGAAAACAGUAUUCCUUACGCGCUAUUGUGCCAAGUGGCAGGUCUAAGAGAAUAUAUUGGAGCAAAUCCAGCUCUCAGUUUGGAAUCUGCCACCACAGUUUUCCAUUCAAAAAUCUCUGAUGUUUCUGUGCCCAGUGGUGAAUAUGAGGAUGCAGAAGUGCAGGAUGAGUUUUAUGAUGCCAUUGCUGCUGACUCAUCAUCAUCCUCAGAAGAUGAAGAAAGCGACAGUGAUGAACAUGACAAUAAGGGAUCAAAAGUGAAGCUGAAGAAUGUCUCAUGGGCCAUCGCAGGCUUAGCUUUGAAGCGAACUUCAGCUCCAGAUGCAAAUAAGGAACUAGACCGUACUGUAACUCCUAUCAGCAUUGAUCCAACCCAGUGUCAUGGUUCCUUGCACAAAGCAAAGGAUGGCGCAGACACAAACUGUUGGGCUUCUCCAAGUGGUACGGGAUUUAUGAUCAGAGGAAAAACUUACCUAAAAGAUAAUUCUAAGGUAAUGGGAGGAGAUCCCCUUCUCAAGCUCAUUGCAGUUGAUUGGUUCAAAGUGGACAAAUCCAUAGAUAGGAUUGCAUUGCAUCCCAGGUCUCUUGUUCAGUCAGGAGUUGGGAAGAAGCUUCCAUUCAUCCUUGUCAUUAACCUCCAGGUCCCUGCUAAACCAAACUACAGUUUGGUCCUUUACUAUGCUGCAGACAGACCACUAAAUAAAAGUUCUUUGCUGGCUAAGUUUGUGGAUGGAAGUGACAUGUUUCGGGAUGCCAGAUUUAAACUAAUUCCUAGUAUUGUUGAGUACAGGGGUAUUGGAUGGUCAAGCGUGCAGUCGGAACAAAAGCUUGCUUAUUGGGGAAAGCUGUAACCUGCAAAUACUUCAGACAAGACAACUUUUUGGAGAUUGAUGUGGAUAUUGGAUCAUCCUCUGUAGCAAGGAGUGUCAUCGGCCUUGUUCUUGGAUAUGUCACAAGCAUAGUUGUCGACCUUGCCAUUUUGAUAGAGGCAAAAGAAGAGGCAGAGUUGCCUGAGUACAUUCUCGGUACUGUUCGGCUAAAUCGUUUGAGGCCAGACUCUGCUGUAAAUUUGGAGGUUUGAGGUUUUCAUAUGUCGAAAUUCUUUAGUCAUCUCACGCUUCAUGGUUAAUGCCAUUACUAUUAUUGGUGUACAUUUUCCAAUGUUUUCCAGUUUAGUGUAGAAUCUUCCUUCACAUAAGUGAUCUGACAUUUAAUAUUUAAUAAUUUAUAAACAGAAACCUUUCAUAGGUCCAUUUUUUCA
RNA transcript from Quercus robur (English oak), 2642 nucleotides. It is a transcript of the gene named protein ENHANCED DISEASE RESISTANCE 2-like, with no coding region annotated. The transcript has 22 exons. The record is from RefSeq and is a predicted model, not a curated record. Lineage: Eukaryota; Viridiplantae; Streptophyta; Magnoliopsida; Fagales; Fagaceae.